Molecule: ribosomal RNA, 504 nt
Filed under: uncultured bacterium
Lineage: Bacteria
Description: partial 16S ribosomal RNA
Rfam family: Bacterial small subunit ribosomal RNA
Source: RNAcentral
AACGAACGCUGGCGGCGCGUCUUAAGCAUGCAAGUCGGACGGCAAGGGUAGCAAUACCCCUAGAGUGGCGGACUGGUGAGUAACGCGUGGGUGACCUACCCUCGAGAUGGGGAUAGCCAUUAGAAAUAGUGGAUAAUACCGAAUACGCUCUGGAUGCUCUGGCGACCAGAGGAAAUCAGGCUACGGCCUGGCUCGAGGAUGGGCCCGCGUCCCAUUAGCUAGUUGGUGAGGUAACGGCCCACCAAGGCGACGAUGGGUAUCCGGCCUGAGAGGGUGUACGGACACAUUGGGACUGAGAUACGGCCCAAACUCCUACGGGAGGCAGCAGCUAAGAAUAUUCCGCAAUGGACGAAAGUCUGACGGAGCGACGCCGCGUGGAUGAAGAAGGCCGAAAGGUUGUAAAAUCCUUUUGCUGAUGAAGAAUAAGUGGUGGAGGGAAUGCCAUCAUGAUGACAUUAGUCGGUGAAUAAGCCCCGGCUAACUCCGUGCCAGCAGCCGCAGUAA